GCAGCCGCCGCGGGAAUACGGAGGGGGCUAGCGUUGUUCGGAAUUACUGGGCGUAAAGCGCACGUAGGCGGCUUGGUAAGUUAGAGGUGAAAGCCCGGAGCUCAACUCCGGAAUUGCCUUAGACUGCCGAGCUAGUAGGUGAGAGAGGUAAGUGGAAUUCCGAGUGUAGAGGUGAAAUUCGUAGAUAUUCGGAAGAACACCAGUGGCGAAGGCGGCUUACUGGCUCAUUCUAGACGCUGAGGUGCGAAAGCGUGGGGAGCAAACAGGAUUAGAUACCCCCGUAGUCCCUGUCUCUUAUACAC
RNAcentral lists this ribosomal RNA (302 nucleotides) under uncultured bacterium. RNAcentral's name for it is "partial 16S ribosomal RNA". It matches the Rfam family "Bacterial small subunit ribosomal RNA", at positions 508 to 809 of the family's 1533-position model. The record is from RNAcentral.